UACGUAGGGUGCGAGCGUUAAUCGGAAUUACUGGGCGUAAAGCGUGCGCAGGCGGUUCGUUGUGUCGGUGGUGAAAUCCCCGGGCUUAACCUGGGAAUGGCCAUGGAACUGGCGAACUGGAGUGCGGCAGAGGGGGGUGGAAUUCCGCGUGGUAGCAGUGAAAUGCGUAGAGAAUGCGGAGGAACACCGAGUGGCGAAGGCAGCCCCCUGGGCUAGCACUGACGCUCAGGCACGAAAGCGUGGGGAGCAAAC
This 252-nucleotide ribosomal RNA is filed under the name uncultured bacterium. Its description in RNAcentral is "partial 16S ribosomal RNA". It matches the Rfam family "Bacterial small subunit ribosomal RNA", at positions 524 to 773 of the family's 1533-position model. The record is from RNAcentral.